CAGAGGGGGCAAGCGUUGUUCGGAAUUACUGGGCGUAAAGGGCGCGUAGGCGGCCUUCUAAGUCGAACGUGAAAUCCCCGGGCUCAACCCGGGAACUGCGUCCGAUACUGGAAGGCUUGAAUCCGGGAGAGGGAUGCGGAAUUCCAGGUGUAGCGGUGAAAUGCGUAGAUAUCUGGAGGAACACCGGUGGCGAAGGCGGCGUCCUGGACCGGCAUUGACGCUGAGGCGCGAAAGCCAGGGGAGCAAACGGGAUUAGAUACCCCGGUAGUCCUGGCCCUAAACGAUGAAUGCUUGGUGUGGCGGGUAUCGAUCCCUGCCGUGCCGAAGCUAACGCAUUAAGCAUUCCGCCUGGGGAGUACGGUCGCAAGGCUG
This 372-nucleotide ribosomal RNA is filed under the name uncultured organism. RNAcentral describes it as "bacterial SSU rRNA". It matches the Rfam family "Bacterial small subunit ribosomal RNA", at positions 526 to 896 of the family's 1533-position model. The record is from RNAcentral.